UCCUCAUGUGGUUUUUGCAUGCAAAAAAAGCAGAAGCAAAUAUUAGUUCACUGGUUUUCUAAUGUUUAAAUUAAUACUAAAUGGUAUUAUGUGGUUAGAUUGUGAUACGAAAAGAUAACUCAUAUUAGUAGAUGAAACUAAACAUGUCAUUACUCUAAUCAGAAAUUAGCAAAUUGAUUAAAAGGCUAAUAUGUCAUCUAUCAAGUCCAAUUGGAGAUAUGCUUUAUCUUAGUCAUCGAAGCAGAUAACUCCCAAAAGAUAGAGACAUAAAUGUGACUGACUGGACUGACAAUACAUCAGACUGGACCCAACCAGAAUAGAUUCUGAAUCUUUUUAUGGAUUUAUUCACUUGUGAUAUUUGUAGUGUGACAUAACUUAAUCCCGAGUGGACGAUGAACUAUGUAUGUGUAACUUGUAUACUUUAAUGUAAGUGAAAGGCCGAGUUCCAAUAGAUAGGAAUAGAAAGCUGAUGUGUUGUGUAUAUAACUUCUGCAAUAUGUAGCAUUGGAAUUCAUAGCCCAAGACAUGGGUAAAUGAUAUUCUCUCAUUAGCAUUACAUGAUAGAUGAAAAAUAAACGUCACCACGAGUCAUUCGUCUUUGUGAUGAAUAACUUAAUUACUAUUUGGUAGUAAUUGAGUUUUCAUGAAGGACGAUGUAAUGGAUACCAUGAGAUAAAAUAGGAUCAUAUUGGGAGAGCGAAUUUAUUCUAAAGAGAUUAAAGAUAUCCUAUGAGGGUAACACACUUAUGUCAAGGUCAUUGGAUGAGCACUGAUCAAGUAGCUUUCGUAAUGAUAUAUCAUUAAGGAGAGCUCAGUCAUGAUACUAUAGUGUAAUGACUUGGUGACUAAAUGAGUUUAUAAUUAAUAAGUGAAAAACUAGAACUUAAUUAUAAAUCAUUUCAUUCCUAAUCACAUAUGUCCAAUCAGUCACUCUGCUAGCUCGUUAAAACUAUAAAUGAAUUGCAUGUUGAAUAAAAUGAAUAGAAAUGGAUAAAACAUUACACCAAAACAGGCUUUUAGCGGCAUUUUUUUAGGCCUUUAGCGGCGUUUUUUAGCGCAAAAAGUGACGAUAUUGACAAUGUCGCUAACGUUUGCGGCGUUUUUAGACAUAAACGCCGCUAAAGAUCAUGACUUUUAGCGGCGCUUUUUUCACAAACGCCGCUAUAGAACAUGAGCUUUAGCGAUGCUUUACCCACAAAUGCCGCUAAAGAACACGACCUUUAACGGCGCUUUACCCACAAACGCCGCUAAAGAACAUGACCUUUAGCGGCGCUUUACCCAAAAACGCCGCUAAAGAACAUGAUCUUUAGCUGCGCUUUUAUCACAAACGCCACUAAAAGUACGAUUCUUUAGCAGCAUUUAUGGAAAAACGCUACUAAUUUUAGCAAAUUUGUAACAUCCAAUUUUCAUCCAUAUACAAUCCUUCCUGUAACAUAAAAUCCAACCAAAAAUAGCAAAUUUAAAUGAUACUUCAAAUUCAAUGAAAGUUAUAUGAUAUAAAUUGAUAACUGAAUUAUAAUUCAAAAUAUUCUUACAAUAAUAUUAAAAUUAACAAAGUUAAAAAUAUUCCUACAAUAACUAAAGCACACUAAAAUGUUUACACAAUCACCUCCCAGAAAUAGGUGCAGCAGCAACCACAAGAAAAAAAAAGGAAAAUUAACAAAUCCAGAAAUAGCAGUUUUUGGCAAUCACUUUUUCGGGAGUAAUACCGAAAAAAUAACCCCCUGGUUUCAACAAAAAUGACACAUUACUAGAAGUCUCCUUGCUUUGUCUUCAGUUUCAAAUCUUAACUGCAAAUAGAAGAAUAGAAAUGCACUUCAGAUUCAUCAUAUUUGUUCACAUGACAAAUCAAAACCCAAUGUUCACAACUUAAACUACACAAAAUACCUGCAAAUGCUGCAAGCAACAGGCUAGAUCAAGCAACACAUAAAUGCAUAGCCAUAAUAACAAACUAAAGAGGCAUUGUAAGUGCCUUUUUGUUAGAUUCAGUCAUGCAAAAUCGAACUAAACUACCACCAUUGUACGGAAAAUGACCUAUUUUUACUUAGACGGAGGUCGUCCUUGUAGGGUAGUUCGUGUUGCUGGUGAGUAAAAUUGUGCAUGAACCAUCUUAUUAUCCCACACUAAAAUCAAAACCAAUCAGAAUUGAGUCAAUUACAUGAAAAUCAUAACCUUUCUACAAUGCUAAAUAACAUCCUUUGAAAAAUAACAUAAGAGUACUACCCAAGACACGACCAAAUUCCAGUGGUUGCCUAAUUGAGUCUAAAAAGAAAACAUCUCAUUUAUUGGGUUUGUUUCAACCUGGCAUUAAAAGAGAGGCCUUCAAGCAAGACAUACACACAAUAAGUACUGAAAAAUUAAGCCAAUACUAACUUUCAAGGUAACACUUUGGAAUAAAAAUAAAUAAGUAAAGGUCUAAUUAUGAAUUUUAUCCCCUUAAUUUACAAAACCUGAUAAGUUAGUCCAAUUGGAUAACAUUAGUAAACCUUGCUGUUAAAUUACUAGCUUGAAUAUCAACACUUCAAUAUUUAAUAUGUAAGGAAUUAUCAAAAAUCAACAUUUCAAUAAUUUAUAUGCAAGAAAUUAACACAAAUCAAUCUUACAACAGUUUAUGUGAAACAAAUUAGCAAAAAUCAACUACAUAUAUUUAUCGGCAAUAGGGCUAAAUCUUCAAUUUCUAUAACGAUUUAUAUGCAACAAAUUAGCAAAAAAUCAAUGGUUCAAGUUCAUGUAUUUACCAAAAAUCAGACUAAUUUUUCAAUAUUUAUAACAACUUAUAUGCAACAAAUUAGCAAAAAUAAAUGGUUCAAGUUCAUGCAUUUACCAACAACCAGACUAAAUUUUCAAUUUUUAUAACAACUUAUGUGCAACAAAUUAGGAAAAAUCAACAGUUCAAGUUCAUGCAUUCACCAACAACCAGACCAAAUUUUCAACUUUUAUAAAGUAGAAAGAUCAAAUUCUAACAAAUUAAAGCAAGAUACCAACUUCCCACACUUCUCAUUAGUUAAAGUAAUCAAUGGUAUACAGAGUAGCAGGUAAACUUUAUGAGAUAUCCUAUCAUCAGAUUUCUAUUUCUUUGCAGAUAGGAAUUCACAUAUUACAGAUGAAAUGGGCAAAUGACCAUCAUAGAUGACAACGUAAAGAUGAACAGGUGAACUCGAUCAUAGACAUUACCUUGGAAGGAGUUAAAUCAAAUGAUGGACGAGCAUCACUCUCUCUGCUCUGAGCACAUACACAAGAAAGACCUCGACCCAACCAUGCUGUUGAUCUUGCCACAACCUCAGCUGUAACAAAAUAAAGCACUGUACUAAAUCUUAAUGCCACAAAAAGUUUAUUUUUCCCUUUCAAACAUAUGGCUUUGUUUUUAUUUUUUCUUGCAUGCUUGACCAUGGAAGACAUCAUUGUACUAUUUAUAAAAUUUUCAAUUACGAUUUAAUCUAAUGCUAAUUUAAUUAUUACAAAAAUUUAAAAUCAACAGUUCUUAUUGUAAAGGCAUUUAUGCCUUUCAUAUAUAUGUAAAAUUUUAAGAAAUAAAUAGUUUAAAAAUUAUAAAAUUUUUAGAAAAAUAAAAAUAAACGAGGGUUAAGUUGAGGGAUUUUGAACCUGGUGGAUUUUGAGAACAAGGUCAGGAUGCAAUUUCCUCUGCCAAACCUCGUACUUCCCUUCUAAACCGUCAACCUCAAUUUCAUACUUAUUUUCUGUGUUAAUUAAAAAAAGCAAUUACGGAAAAAAAAAAGUAAAUUAAAAUUCUAUACUAGUAGGGAAAAAAAAGGAAGAACACUUACAGCCCAAAAAUCUGAAAGUAAUCGAUGCAUAAAGCAACGGGUCGAAUGCUCCUGCAGGAAUCAGAAUGUGGGGAAAUAACCCAGUAUGCUCCCCCUUUCUUUUGAGCAAUGCACCUUGGAAAUUUCAAAAAGCUCAGAUUUCAGAACAAAAAACGGUACAUACCAGAAUAGCCUCAACUCAAAAACAGCAUUGCGAUAGAAGUUGUAAAGUACUAAGUAACCAACACGCUGAUAAUUCCAGUGACCAUGAACCAAUAGUAAUCUUUUCAGAAACCGGAACUGGCCCAUCGCAAAAUCUGAUGCCAUCACAACUUGCCGUUUGAGAUUUUUUGGGAUUUUUUGAAAUUUUUUUUUAUAAUGUCGCAGGGAGGGAGGGAGGGAGAGAAAGCAAGAGAGACGGCGUGUUUGCAAAGUUAAGAGUUUUAGGGGGGAAUUAGGGGUUCCACGGGGGGAAAUUUGGGGAUAAAAUGGCGGGAUGUUUUUUAAAGUAAAAUUAUUCUUUGCGGCAUUUAUUAUAAAAACGCCGCUAUUGCUUACCUUUUGCAGCGUUUUUUUGAAAAUGCCGCAAAAAAAAAUUUUCAUUUUGAAUAAAACGACGUCGUUUUACUCUGCUAAAAAUAUCUUAUUUUGUCUAUUAAAAAUUAUUAGUUAAGUAAUUUUAUAAAACAUUUAUUAUUACUAUUUUUUAUAAAUUGGAUUUUUAUAAAAAAAAUAAUCAGGUACUCUCAAAAUAAAUAUUGUAUAUUUUAAUAAGACAACAAAUGAUUAAAUGGCUAUAAUUAAUUAUUAAGUUAGAAUUAUCCAAUGUCAGCAAUCAAUCUCUCACAUAUCAAAUUUCUAUUAAAGAUUGAGACGUUAAUCAUGAUUUUAUAUUAUUCUUUUCCGAUCUAAUCUUCAUUUUAUUAGAGAUAUUUCUUCCUAACUAAAAUAUAACUAUUUUGCUAGAUGUUCGAUGUGGAAUGAUUUUAGUUUUUGUAUUUCAUUUUAUUUGUUAUAAUUUGGUCCUAUCCAAAAUAGAUAGUUAUCUAUCCAUAUCAAUCUGUUACUUUUUAUUUAUUUAUUUAUCAAUGUUUUUUUAAAAUCUAAUAUUUAAAUAUAUCAAAUGGUUUAGAUUAAAUAUUUUUAAAUAUAAAUGCAUUAAUUGAUUGUAUAAAAUUUCAUCAUUUAACAAAUCUCAAGUAAACCUUAAAUCCUAAACCAUUUAAUAUAUAUAAAGUUUAUCUAUUAUCUCUUAUAUAAUUUAAACUACAAUUAUAUAAGAAAUUAUUUAAUAUAUAAAUUAAAAAACACUAAUCAAUCUAAACCCCUAACCCCUAUCCCUAAACCCUGAAUCAUGAAACAUAAACUAUAAAUCCUUAACCCCUAAAUCCUUAACCCUAACCCCUAAACCCAUAAUCCAUAAACCUUAAGAUAAUAACUCUUAAACCUUAAACCCUAAACCAUAUAUCCUAAACCAUAAACCCUAAACCCUAAACUAUAAUGAUAAUUAAUUCAAUAUUUUAAAAUUAGAAAAUACUAGUUACUCUAAACCCUAAACCAUAAACCUAAACCCUAAAACCAUAAACACAUAAACCCUUAACACAUAACCUCUAAACUUUAAACCCCAGCCUUUAAACCAUAAACCAUAAAUCAUAACCCAUAAACCCAUAAUCCAUAAACCUUAAAAUGGUAACACCUAAACCUUAAACUCUAAACCAUAUACUCUAAACCAAAAACCCUAAACUGUAGUGAUAAUUAAUUCAAUAUUUUAAAAUUAAUACUAUCUCUUUUACGGUUAUAUAAGAAAUUAUUUAAUAUAUAAAUUAAAAAAAUCAGUAAUGUACCCAAAAAACUUUAAAAUUAUUUUAAAUAAUAGUAUUUUAAUUUUUUCAUUUUUAACAAAUAUUUUUCUAUGUUUUUUAUUUCAAAUUAUUUCUACGUGUCAUUAUUUUUUCUGAAGAUUUUAAAUAUUCAAUUAAAAAUAAAUUGAAUUUUAAUAAAUAUAAAUAAACCAAUCAAAUAAUAAAUAGACAGACAAAAUGGUUUUUGUGGCGCUUUUUCAAAAAUGCCGCUAAAAAUAGAGCAUUAGCGUCACUUUUUCAAAAACGAUGCUAAAGCCCAGAGCAUUAGCGGCGCUUUUUCAAAAACGCCGCUAAUGCCCCAAAAAGCUGGGGGCUUAGGUUUUUUGCGGCGCUUCCUUGGGAACGCCACUAAUGCUUGAUUUUUAGUGGCGUUUUCUGUCCAAAUGCCGCUAAAAAUACCGCUAAAAACAUGUUUUGCUGUAGUGAAAAUGAUAAAGUUAGAGAAAUGAGAAAAUUCAGAAAUGAAUGUGUGUUUCUCACUAAAUAUGAAAAUGACCUGAUAAUUAAUUUAUGGUUUUUCGAAUUAUUAUUUAAUUAAUUAAAUAAUUGAAGUUCAAAAAUAAAAUUAAAUUAAUUGGUCAUUUUGAAUCCGUUAAAUGUAGAAAAAUUAAAUAUAUUUUCUCAUAGAUUCUUUUACGGUAAAGUUGCAAUGAUUUUAACGGAAAAAGCAUUGGGUUGAGAAAAUUAUUUAAUUGGGAAAUUAAUUAAUUAAUUAAAAUUAAUUUAUAAUGUCUAUUUUGGAAAAUAGAAAAACAUUUAUUUAGUUCAAUUGAAUUAUAACAUGCUGGGUUAAAAGUCUAGGAAGCACAUAUAAUUGGACCAAAUAUAAAAGAAGCUCGAAUCCUCAUCAUAAUACAUAUGAGAGGAAACACACCCUAUUAACCCCUCUCUCUCCUAGUUCACCCAGGGGAUUGUUUUCCUAUUAAAUAGACAUUAAAUGCAUUCUACUAAAUCAACCAGGGUUUCACUUCCUCUCCUUAUAAAUAGAUGGCACCAAUAGAGCUAAAAAUACAAUAAAUUUUACACAAUUUUGACAUAUUGUUAUUCUAUUCGAAGAUAGUGAGAAUUCAUUUCUAAGUAUAAAUAUUAUUUUUUGGGAAUAAUAAUUCUACUAGUUUCUAUUUGAGAGAAAAUUUUACUUUCUCACUGAAAGUAAAGUAAAUAAUUUAUGGUUCUGUGUUUGAUUUGAUAGUGUUCGAGCCCACAAAGUAGCUCGUGGUACGAGAAUAGCGGAGAAGGUCAUUCAAUUGAAAGUUGGGAACGAAAAGGAUCCUUCUAGUUGAAAAUACAGGUGCGAUUUUGUGAAAAGUUUAUUGCUAUAAAUAUCACAAACCGACUCAUUUUCAAAAUUUUAAUUUUUCGCUCUACAAGAAAACCGUUUUCGAAUCGAAUUUUUUCUAACACUAACAUGUAAUGCUGAUGAGAGGAUAUCAUUUACCUAUUAGUUGGCUGUGAAUUUCAUUAUUAUGAAUGAUGCUACAUAUUGCAAAAUUCGUAUACCCAACGCACUAGCUUUCGGUUCCUUAUCUAUUUGAACUUAGACUUUUAGUUACAUCAAAGUAUACCAGUCUCUCAUACAUAGUCCAUUAUCCACUCAAGGUUAAGGUAGGCCACACUAUGAAUGUAACAAGUGAAAAAAAAAUCUACAAACGAAUCUAGAAUUUAUUCUACUUAGGUUUUGUUCGAUGUACUAUUAGUCUGGACAGUCACAUCUAUGUUUGUAUCUUUGGGAGUCAUUCAUUCUGAGCUCAAGAUCAAGCAUCUCCCAUAUUAGACUUUAUAGACGGUAUACUAAUCUUUCAACCGAUUUGCUCAUUUCUGAUUAGACUAAGGACGACAUGUUUAGGUUCAUCUACUAAUACAAGUUGUAUUUCCAUAUUACAAUCCAACUACAUAAUAUUGCUUCAUAUUAGUUAAAUGUUAGAUAACCAAUGAGUUAAUAUUUACUUCCAUUUUGCUCUGCGUGCAAAAAAAUUGAGGACAAUAUACAAAAGUUAUUAAUGUAGUUAAUGGAUAUUAUUAUUAAAUAAUUUGUUCAAAAAUAUAAGUGUACAUAGACGAAAACACUACAUUUAGGGCAUUGAAUCCAACAAAUUCGAGGUUAGAAGCAUCCAACUUGAAAGCUUAGAUUGGAAACCAGCUAGUUGUUUAUUUUGUAUGUAUAAACGUGUUUGGGUCAAAUGACAUGUACCUAUGUUGAUUUAGCAUGUUGCUUAAGUUAAUAUUUGGUACUUUUGGUAUUAUGACCUAUAAUGUUUGAGUGGUGAGUUUCAUCUUUUGAUUUAAAGAUUAUCAUGCAUGUUUAUAAGUGUUUGAUUGCAUAAUUUGCUUGGUUAUAUAAUGAUGAAAUGGAUGCUAGGAUUUGUUGGUGAAUGAAUGUGUUUAUAUGUUGAAUUGAUGAUUUUUCGAUUGUGUAAAGUUUAGGUAUAUUUUAGUUAUAAUUUUGUAUGGUUUGAAUGUUUGAAAUUGUGCAUUUAGGGUCAUUUUGCCAUUAAGUCUUGAGAUAACAAGAACAUGUCUCUUGACCAUUAAAACAAACUUUAUCAUUUCAUACAAUCAAUAGCUUAGUAUCUCGAGACCUGUCGAGCUAGUCUCGAGACUACCUCAAUUAAGUCCUGAGACAAAGUGACUUUUGUCUCGAGACAAAAGUACAUCAAAUCUAAAUAAGUUUUGCCUUGUUCUAAAUCUUGAGACAAGAACCCCAUGUCUCAAGACAUACAAGCAUUGAAGCUAAAAUUUCUUAAAAUAAAAUGAGGCCUGUCUCGAGACAUGGAAACCCUUGUCUCGAGACAUUAUGUUGAACAUUGACAAAAGAGUUUGGAUUUGAAUCUUAAGCUCGUAUUAUACCUCGUUUAAAUCCUAAAUGAUUAAAUUAUGUUUGAAAUGUGUUAACGUGAUUUAAAUAUAUGGAAUGUUGUGUAUGUUUAAUAUGAGUUGUUUUGACAAUGUAAUGUGAUAUCACACAUUCUUAUUUGAUGAUCAAGUUGGGUGUGGGGUGUUACAUUUCUACCGUUAAAAACUAGUUAAACACAUCAACAUGAGAUACACAUGGCACGCCACAUGUCACAAAAUGCAAUCUGACUCCUAUUACAGGAACCUCUAUAGUACUUUCACCAACAUAAGACAAUAUAAGUAGGAGCCAAAUCAAUUUAGCAACCAAUAACACAUAUCUAGUGCGUUGACAUCGAAUCUCCAUCUCUUCCCAUUUGAUAAUGAACUCAGCGUGAGGAUCCGACAACCACAACAAACCAAAGGCCUUGCCAUAAACAAGUAGAACAUGCCCAAAAUGAAUAUUUGGGCCUAGCUGAAAGUGGAAGAAGCUCAUUGACACCUAAUCCUUGUCUUAAGCCCACACCCUAAUGAUUUCAUUUCCUCUAUUAUUAUCCAAAGUGGAAAUCAUAGUCGGAUCAUUCCACAUCGCACUAAGUUUUUGUCACAUUCAUUAACAGUCAUCAUUGCAAGAAUGAGACACUCCCAUGUUUUGUGGAAGAGACACCGCAAGUUCUUUGUAUAGUACAUAUCAAUCUUUACAGAACCGAAAUAACAAAAAAAGAAAAAGAAAAUUAAAAACUUACCAAAUCUGUGAUUAUUAAUUAUGUUCUAAGAACACGAUCCAAUGAGUUGUAUUUGAUCGAGACACAUAAACUAGACAUAAAUUAAACGAUUAUUGUGUACGACUAAGUAAAUUUAUUGAAAAUAAUACUUGGAUUUGAGAAAGACAAGUUCAUGUUAUGGCACAACAACCAGACAAACACUUGGAAAAAAAGACUACUCUGUCUGUAGAAGUUUCAAAGCUUUUUCGGUAGACCAGACCAGUAGUUGGCUGUUCUUGGAUGUACUUGCUUGUCUGUUUUUGUUGGGAGCACUAUCAACUAUGACUCAUCUCCAUGACCCAUGUGAAGCACUCCAAUAACUCCAAGUUUUCUGUAACUUGGAAAAUGUAAUAAAUAAAAUUUUUAAUUAGGUUGGGUUAGUUCUUAUGGGCGCUGGUAAGGGCAAUGUUGUAAUAUGACAGAUGACUGCCAUUGGGUGGUAAUUAGUAAAUCAACUUCUAUGAUCUAUCCUUAUUUGCUGGCUGCAAUCAUAGUCUCAAAGCCAGGUCUGGGGGCUUUCAAGUUUUGACACAGGUACAACAACCCUUCCAUAAAUCUGUAUUUUAAACCAUUUUUUGGUUAUGAAUUUCAUCACUUUAUAAACUCUGGGUGUUUGUAGCUGGUUAUGACCUUUUGGGGUUGGUUAAAUCCUAGCAUGCUAGUGACCCAUUUCAUAGUAUUUAAUACUCAUCAUGAAUUCAUGAUUUAAUGCACUUUUUUUACUAUUAUAUAUGUGUGUAUAUAUAUUUCAGCUUACUUGGUUCUUUGUCCAUGGAGACGAAAUACAAGAUAGUUUGUCCAAGAAUGUGAUGCUAGAUUGUUUGUUGUUUUGCCUUAAACAAGUUCUAUCUGUCACUGGCUUAUUGCAGUCAAUUAUACGUAUGUUUCACUAUGACUGAUGGUUGCUUUCAAUAGUAAAUUAUAUCUCCGGCGAUGUUAUCAUUCAUAUCCCUGCCUUUGGAAAAAAUGGCAUUUAGGCAAGGUGUUGGGUUUUGGUACGGGUUAGUUAUGGCCCUUUCACCUUGUCAUUGUCUCUGCGAAAUACCCUUCUGCCAUUUAAGUCCAGUUCCUUGCUAGGGACUUGCUUAUCUCCCAUAUGUUAUAUACACACACACAUACACACAUGUAUGUAUCAGCUCCUUGAGAGGUAAUAAUUCUUGCUUGCAUGAUUGUAUCCCUAAUUUACAGAAUCAGCUCCUUGAGAUGAAAGUAAUUUGCAUAUGAGGAAGUCUUUCAUCGACUAAAACUCAAACUUUUGCCUGUCUUAUAGUCAAUUUCGACUUCGACUUCCCCCCCCCCCCCCCCNNNNNNNNNNNNNNNNNNNNNNNNNNNNNNNNNNNNNNNNNNNNNNNNNNNNNNNNNNNNNNNNNNNNNNNNNNNNNNNNNNNNNNNNNNNNNNNNNNNNCUUGGUUUUACAUAUUUACAUGUUUCAUUACAAAAGUUUUGGUUAUCGGAUUAUGUUUAUGUUCAUGAUGUUCUCGGUUCAAUUUUCAGAUGGAAGUGCAAAAUCCUCAACAUGGGCAAUAUAUUGAAAUAAAUGUGGAUGUUGGUCAAGGCCAAAGGCGUAUAGGAGGGAGUAAGUUUUGUGGGGAAGCACCUUGUGGAUUUUCUGAUGCCGGUACUAGCUCUAAGGAUGCCGAAGAAAGAUCGGCUUCCAUGCGCAAGCUUUUAAUUGCCGUGGUGCUUUGCGUCAUCUUCAUGAGUGUAGAAGUAGUGGGAGGCAUCAAAGCCAAUAGUCUAGCAAUAUUAACUGAUGCAGCACAUUUGCUAUCUGAUGUUGCAGCUUUUGCCAUAUCCUUGUUUUCGUUAUGGGCAGCUGGAUGGGAAGCUAAUCCUCGUCAAUCAUACGGAUUUUUUAGGAUCGAGAUUCUCGGGGCCUUGGUUUCUAUCCAGUUGAUAUGGUUGCUUGCAGGAAUUUUAGUGUAUGAAGCCAUUGUUAGACUCAUUAAUAACACAGGUGAGGUGUAUGGAUUUCUAAUGUUUCUUGUUGCUGCUUUUGGAUUAGUGGUUAACAUUAUCAUGGCUCUAUUAUUGGGCCAUGAUCAUAGUCAUGGUCACGGUCAUGGCCAUGAUCACGGUCAUGGUCAUAGCCAUAGCCAUAGCCAUAGCCAUAGCCAUAGUGAUCAUAGUCAUGGUGUGAGUGUUACCACGCACCAUCACCACGAGGGACACUCCACAGGAGAACACCACCAUCAUCAUCAUCAUCCCGAGGGGCACUCCAAGACUGAGCACAGCCAUCAUUACGAAGAGACUGAGCAUGUCAAAGACGAGGAUCACCACCACGACGUUCACAAAGAACAGUCAAAGCCACUGCUUGAUAAGCCAAAGAAACGAAGGAACAUAAAUGUCCAAGGAGCUUAUCUUCAUGUACUAGGGGAUUCCAUCCAAAGUAUCGGAGUAAUGAUUGGAGGGGCAAUCAUAUGGUACAAACCUGAAUGGAAAAUCGUCGACCUGAUCUGCACGCUGAUAUUUUCAGUAGUUGUUUUGGGGACUACCAUCAAAAUGUUGCGCAGCAUACUCGAAGUGCUGAUGGAGAGUACGCCUCGAGAGAUCGAUGCAACAAAGCUGGAAACAGGGCUAUUGGAAAUGGGGGAUGUUGUUGCCAUUCAUGAGCUGCAUAUAUGGGCCAUUACAGUGGGGAAAGUCCUCUUGGCUUGCCAUGUCAAAAUCCGACCCGAAGCUGAUGCAGACAUCGUCUUAGACAACGUAAUCGAAUAUAUCAGAAGGGAGUAUAAUAUCAGUCAUGUUACCAUUCAGAUUGAGCGUUAAAAUGGUAGACAAUAAUUUAGAGCAUGCAUGGACCUCAUUACUCUACAUAUAUUUAUAGUUGCCAUAAAUACUGGUCCAUAUCCAGUAUUUAAUCAGUAGAUGUUAUGUAAAUUUCCUUUGUUGAAUCAUUGUUUUCAGUCAAUCCAUGUUUGGUUGCUUGAGCUUGAAGCAAAAGACAGAUAUUCAAUUCAAUUACACAUUAAUGUAAUGAAUUUGAAGGCAAAAGCAAUUUAAUCAUUUUAAUCUUCCAUAACAGGAGGUAGCGAUGAACAUAAUGAUAAACACUCAAUGUGCACGAUAAACUUACAAGUUAAACAACCAUAGACAAACCCGAUUUUUGGGAUUUGAAGGCAUAUCAUUUGUGGAACUCCAUAACCCAACAGUCACAAACAAAGCACUCGAACUUAACGCUGUUGAACCCGGCUUCGGUCGCCAACGCGACAAACUCUUCUUUCGUUCGUUCUUUCCCACCGGGGUUUUGAGUCAUCAUUAGCAUAUCGAGUAGAAAAGUGGCCUUUGCCGAAGGAGUAGACUCGGCCAUAACAGGAACUACUGAAUCUACAACAAUGACUCUGCCAUUGUUCGGGAUGGCUUUGUAGCAGUUCUUCAACAAUCUCAAACACUUCUCAUCGCUCCAAUCAUGGAGAACCAACUUCAAAAAAAUAGCAUCUCCUUGUGGAACGUUUUCAAACAUAUCACCAGCAACAUGUUCAAUUCCUACACAAGGGAAGAUAUUCAUUAAUAUUUUGCCUAGGGAUAAAAAUAAAUCUAUAAGAAAUUAAACAAAGACUCACUUUCUUUAACUUAUAUUUGGUAGGUGAAAGAGUUACAAGCAAACGAACUUUUGAAGAAAUAACUAAGUAAAAAAAUUGAAGAGUCAAAGAUGAAUCAUAAAUUAUUGAGAGCUAAAGUAUAAUUUUAAUAUUAUACUAAUACUAGGUAAUUUCAUAAAAAUUUAAGAAAUCAAAUGAUAAAUCUACCAUUUGGAGUGGGCCAAGGCCAUUGCCUACCCCUUUGCCUUUGCCUCAGUUUGUGUUUUUUAUUGAUGAAAAUAAUUCCUAAGCAUUGAACAUAUAACCAGAUUAUUUAUUUCUAUAUAGAAGUUUUGUAGUAAUUUUUUAUAAAAUGAUAUUUGAAUAUAAACCAUGGUGAGAGAACAAAAAGGGAGCUUUGUUUUUAUGUUUUUGUCAUAAAUUUAUGAGAUUAAAACCUUAAAAUUGUUUAUGAAAUUUUGUUUAAAAGUCUAUUUUUAUUUAUAAGAGUUUUUAUGUCUUUCCAUAGAAACAUAAUUAUCCAAUAAAUAUAUUUUUAGAAGUCACUUUUCUUAAAUUGUCAAAACUAUUCAAUCAAGCAAUGUUUUUGGAAUUAGAUAGGUGGUCAAACUAUUUCGAUCAGUUUAGCAUAUUCAAAGCAAAUGAACUAUUAAAAACAAUUAAAAAAGUAAAAAAAAUUAUAAAAAUCGGUUCAACUGUGAUUCAAUCAAAAUUUUAGCCUUCUUUAACUGGUUUGUAUUGAUUCACGAGUUAACCAAUUUUUUACCUCAUAUCGGACAAAUAUCUUCAUCGAUUCUUGAUUUGACCAGUCUGGUCCAAUUCAGACAACAGGUUAUCAAGAGACGUAAUUUAUUACACCAAAAAUUCUAAUUUUUAGUUAUUUAAGAUAUUUCAUUUGUAACUACUAGAACACUACAUAUAUUUAAAUAGGAAAAAGAUGAUAAAUAUACCGGGAUAGGACGAGGCAUGUUGUAUAACAUGAGGCAAGUCGAAAUUAAUGCCAUUGAUGUUAGGGUAUUUGGAAGUGAUAUAGUGAAGUGUGAUACCAAGGUUACCACCCACAUCUACCAGUUGCUUUAGGCCAUGAAAACCAUCAUAAGAGUGGAGCAAUUUUUUGGUAAACAUUGUACUUAAAUUCAACAUGGCUGUGUUGAAAACUUGAUUGAACCUAUCAUCCAAUCCAGGGUACUCAAAGGCAUGUGCUCCAUGCACCCUGUUGAAGGCGAUCCCUCCUUCUAAAACCGCAUAUUUAAGUUGACACCUGCAAAUAAAAUCCAUCAAAUAAUCAAACAUCUAAUAAGUAAAAACUUUAAGAAAAUGGGCAACGGACCAGAUAACCAAGGAGACUAUAUCUUGAUUCAGGGCCAAGACAGGAGCUAACGACACAGCAUCUUCGUUAGGGAUGAAGUAGUAAGACACUGGGGAUAAACUGUAGUGUCUCUCAAGACCAACCACAGAGCAGCACAGCACGUUGUGGCUAGCCAAAAGUCUGGCAAUACGGUCCACCAUGAUUGGUGCACCCUGGUUCUUGCUAGGCAGUUGUGCUGCAAUAUCGGUGGCGGAGAGUUUGGCACCUGGACCUGCUUUUGCAAUUAUCUCCAAUAUCCCAAGCUCGCAUGCUGUUUGCAAGGCCAUAGGGAGGAAUGUUCCCAUCACAAGUUGGGAAGCAAAAGAAUAAGUUUCAUUGUCAUUUUCACCACUUACUUCCUGUUGCUGAGAUUCUAUUGAAGAAGGCAUAGCCAUUUGGUUCUUCAAUUAUCUCAACGCAGCUCAAUUGGUUUAAGAUUAGUGUCUUUUAAUAAUGGCUGUUGGGAGAGUUCAAGUCUGAUUUGUUUUAGUAUUAAAUUACUUUGCAUACAAUGCCUAGAAUUACUCAUAUUAUAUAUAAUGUGUUUCCGCACACUUGAACUCACGUCUUCUUGCAUUAGCAAUAAUACACAUACCAAUCGAAAAGAAAGUGUGAAUAUAUGUAUGUUAUAAGUGAAAUCUAGAAUUAAUUCAAAAAUAAUUCAAUAAAUGAAUAUAGGUAUCUUCAAUCUUGAUAGAAAUCUGCUUCAGAGACGGCUUCAAUAAUAUUUCUCAAGUUGUUUUCUUAAGUAUUCUAUGACGGCUCACUCCUUUUUAUUUUUGUCUUAUAUAUGUCUUAAAUUAUCUAAAAAACUUUAAAAAAAAUACAUUUUUCCGUAAAUUUAGAGUGUGAUUUGCGGUUUCCACGUAAUCUUUCUACUCGUUGUAUAAAAAUAUAUUAAUCAACAUUACUACUAAUUAUGAUCUCAAUCUCGAUCAAUCUGAAUCUCAGUUUAAUCAUGAUAAACCUAAUCUCAUUGGGUACACCAACUUUCAAAUGGAGUUGAUGAUUAAGAACAACGGUUAGGUAGCAAAUUAAUAAGUUUCAAUGCAGCUCAGUUUGGUCCCUUGCAUUGAUUUAAGUUUAUUGUCUUUUAACAAUGGCGGUUGGGAAUAGAUUUCCUCUGCCGAACUUAAUUAUUGUCCUUUUUUUAUACAAAAUAAUAACUAUUACACGUUAAUCUAGUACCCUAAGCUAAAGGAAGAAUUUUCUCUUCAUAUUUGAUCAAUCCGACAAGAGCAUCUGCAAUCGUAUUAGCCUCCCUCGAGACAUACUGGAUAACUACCUUCAAUUAUCUUCAGCACAAUUCAAUAAUUUUUAUAGCUUAAUCCCUAUUCAGUUAGUCUUGAAAUCUACCCUGAAUGGAUCCAAUAACAAGAACACAAUCCAUUUUUACGAUGACAAGUAAAUCUUUUUAAUAUUAAAAUUAAUUAUUUGUUAUUAAAAUAAUUAAAAUUUAUUUUGGAAAAAUUUAAAUUUGAUUUGUUUUAUUAAAUUUGGAUUUGAACUUUUUAGUUAAAGAAUUUUUAAGUUUGCUUUUUAUGGUUAGGAUUUUUCAGGUUUAGUUCUUUUUAAGUUUUUAAAUUUGGUGUUUUCAAAUUUAAUUCAAAUUAGGUAAAGAGUAAGUUCAAGCUUGGAUUUUAUAAGUCAUGUUUUUAAAUUUCGUGAUCUCUAUAUAUGAAGAUUGAAUUGAUUAUAGAAACUUAAAAUUAAUUAAAGUGGCGGAGUAAGGAAAGGGGUGAUCAGCUUCGAUCCCUUAAAACGGAAAUUUUUUCCUUUAAGUUUCUUUUUUAAUUUAUAAAAUUUUAAAUUAAUAAUGAUAAAAUUACACUUUAGCCCUUCAAAAUGAUAAAAAUCUGAUUUAAUCCUUUAAAAUUAUAAAAUUAUAGACUAUUAAGAUAAUAAAUGUAAUAGGCCCAAUUCGGCCUAGCCCGAUACAGAUAUUAAAAACCAAUAAUAAGCAAUCCAAUCCAAUAAUGUCAAUCUAACUUUUCAAGCCCGAUUACAGACCCAAAUACAUGGCCCAAAUCACUAACCCAAAAGACCCAACUAAAACCCAAACCCACUAGCCUAGAAACCUUUAGCCCAAUGAGCCCAAAACGCAAAACAGGAGCAAGGAACCCUAGCAGCUUCCAGCGCCGUUCUCUCCAGCCACGCACGCCUCCGUACAGCCUUCCCUCGCACGUACGCCACUGCCACCUUGACCCAGCCUCACGCGAGCCUCCACAUCACUGCACCUGACACCGUACUCGUACCUGCACCCGCAACAAAUGCCUACAAAACAAGCAAAGACAGAACGCAAAAGAGAAAGGAGAAUAGCAGAAAAAUAGGAGAAAAAAUGAUGUAUUUUUUUGAUUUUAUUUUCGAUGCGGUUAUAAAGCCAUUUUGAGAAUCAACACACAGCGACAGAGAUUGUAAAAACAAACUCAGAAAAAAAUAUCAAUACAACAAAGGUUUUUUUUCUCUCUUGGCGAUUCAGUUUUUUUUUUUCUUUUUAUCGUUCUUCUUUCUUUUCGUUCUUUGUUUUGUUAUUAAUACAUACAUAAGCAUAUAUAAAAUUAAAAGAAAUAGGGGAGAGACUCACCUUCCGGUUUGAGGCCGCCGGACCUCAGUCGCUUCGUCGAAAUCGAAGUUCGAGAGGGGGUGCAUCAGGGUUGCAGCGGAGAGAAAAGGAGAUCCUUUUUCUGUCUUUUAGAAUGGUUUAGGGUUUAUUUCCUUUUUCUUUUUCAUUUAUGCCUGAAUGACUCUUAUCUUCGGGUUUUUUUUUAGAUUUAUUUUAAUAUCAAAACGACGCCGUUUGGAGUCUGAUCAGUGGCUCCAAAACGGCGCCGUAUUGAGCUCGACCCGCGUGUGUGACCCGACCCGGGGAGGAUCCGCGCGUGCUAUCUUUCUGGUCUAUUUGCACUAUGAGCCCUUCUUCAUUUGGGAGUUGUUCGAUUCAGUUUUCUUACCAUUUUCUUAAUUUGUACCGCACAUUUUAUUUUAUUUUCAUUUCGAUCCAAAGACAAAUGACGUCAUUUUAUCAAUCAGAUUUGAAUCCUUGCACUUAUGCGUUUAUUUGCAGUUUUAGUCCCUCGAUUUUUAAUCCAGUACAAAUUUUAUCUUUCUUUUACUUUUAUUUAUGUUUGCUACCAAUUAAAUUUUGUUUUAAUUUCAAUGUAAUUUUUGUUCCAUUAUUUUCUUUUAUUUCGUUUUUUUAUUUUAUUUCCUUUCAAUUUCGACUAAGCUUUUAUUAACUUAAUUUAAAAUUAAAUUAGUUUUAUUUUGACGUAGUUUAUUUUUUAGUAUCAUUUGAAUAUUUCAAAUUAAUACUAUGUUAAAUUUAUUAGACAUAUUUUUUUAGAAAUUCAUUAUAAACUUUUAUUUUGAAAUGUAACAUCUUAUUAUUUAAUUCAUCAUUUGUUAAUACAUGUAUUUUAUGAAAAUUCGAUAUAACUUGUAUGUAUUUUAAUGCUUUAUUUCAUAUUAUAUCUUAAAAUUCACCCCUUUUUAUAUAUAUGGACUACACGUUUGAUGUUUACAUGAUAACAUUUUUUUCUUAAUGCUAGUAUUCUUAUGUAUGACUUAAAUUAUUCUUUUCUUCGGUAUAUCGUUAUUCUAAUCUUAUUAUACCUAUUAAAAUGUUAUUGAUGUGUUUAUGUGUUCAUUUGAAAUUGAUUUUAUUUUAAAAAGAAAAGAACUCACUUUGAAUCCUUUAUAUACUUCAAUAUUUAUGUAUAUAUGUAUUAUUACUGUAAUGUUUUUAUCUUAUAUGUAUUGCUUUUAUUAAAUUGAUAUAUGUAUGAAAUUCGCUUCGAAUAUAUUUCAAAUUCAACUAUUCAAUGGUUAUUUUAUUUCAAAUCUAUUCUGAACUUGCAUACGUAAUAUAUUUUAGAACUUUUAUACAUAGGAUCUUUUUAUCUUGAAGUAUCUUUAAUUUAGCUUUUGAAUAUUGAUUUUGAUAUUUGCAUAAAAUGAUUAAGAUUAUUGGUGUUAGUCUUGUUUGUAUUUGCCUAUUACUUGCUUAAUUGCUCCUCAGUGUAAGUUUAAGCUGUUAUUUAUCUCUUGCAUUAUGUUUCGCUCUUCUAUCAUAAUUCGUUGGUAAGAAUUGUUUUAUUUUAAAGCACAACAAUCAUUCCAUUUCACAAUAAAAACCUAGCGUUUAUAUUUCUUGAGGGAAUUGUACCCUAACUUACUGGGUUCCAAUUCUUCUCGAUAAAUUUAGAUCGCUGUGUGCUUAUUUCAUUAAAACAGUACAAUUUAAAAACGAAGCAACUAGGAUUUCAGAAUGUGGGAUCCUAACUUACUGAAUGUGACAUUCUGUUAUCCCGAUUUUAAAAUAAAGGUAAUGUUCGGUAUUUGGGAAUUUGGUGAAAUCAAACCCUAACUUACUGGGUUUUGAUCUUCUCUUUUGGCCCAAAUAAUCAGAUACCCUCCUCAAAAUGCAUAGUUUUAAAAAUCAAAUUUAACUUCAAAAUAAAAGGAUCGUAUUUUAAAAUCUUUUCAAAAUUUCGACAUUAAGACAUUAAACAAUCGAUUCGGUACCAAUUCUGGGCAUUACGAGGGUGCUAACCCUUCCUCGUGCGUAACCGACUCCCGAACCUGUUUUUCUCAAAAUUCGCAGACCAAAAAUCAUUUUAAUGGUGAACCGGUCACACUUUAAUAAAAGAUCGGUGGCGACUCCCAUUUCUAUUUUCAAAAUCGAUACCCAUUUUUCAAAUCUCAAAAAAGUGGUUUCAACAAUAAAAUUACAUUUUUAUUGUAAAAAAUAUAAAAUUUAAUUGGUAGUGGAAAAUAGAAGUGGGUGUUGGAUUGAAUUAAGUAAAAAAAUUUUAAGUUAAUUGAAUUGUUCAGUUCUAUUUUAUCAUCUUAACUCGAUUUGAAAUUUUUUCGAAUUGAAUUGUUCGAGUUAACUUAAAAAAUUAAACAUGUUAAAUUAAAAUCUUGUUACAGUAUAACUAAUUACAUAUUAGAGUACAUAAAUUUGAAACCAUGUAUAUUUAAAAACUUUUUCAAAGCAAAAUAAAAUAAAAAGAUACUUUAGUAUGAUAAACUUGAAUCAUUAAUUAACUUAUUUAGGUCCCAAAAUUUUUAUUUUAGAACAUUUUUAAAAUUAAUAUUCUUUAUAUAUUCUUUAGACUUUUUUAUGAUUUUUAAAAAAUAUAUAAAUAUUGGAAUUUUAUAAAUAUUUUAAAGUUUAAAAAUUAUUUUGAAUUUUUGAAAAAAAAUUGUAAUUUUUGUUGAGAAAGAUCAAUUUGUUUAUUUUCAAAAUUGAUAGAGACCAAAGGGAUAUUUAGACCAAUCUGUUAUUCGAAUUAUUCGAGUUAUUUUAGUUAUUCGAAUUGUAAAGUGUAAAUCGACUUGAACUCGAAACUCGAAUAAUUCAAAUAACUCGAUUCGAUUAACUCGAAAUUCAAUUUUUUUUUAAUUUUUUCGAAUCGAAUCGAGUUUUGUUCACCCCUAAUUAAAAUGUACAUGAUCUAAAGCAAAUUUGGCUUUGCGAUCCUUACAAAGAAACAUCCCUUUUCUGUAGACACCAUAAGUACUAUUGUAAUACCCAAAAUUUCCAAUACAGUACCACCAGAAAUGUACAAGUAUAAUUAUCAAGUAAAUAGGUUGAGAUUACUAGAAUAAAUUAUGUUGGAGAUGAAUUAGAUAUUUGAAGAGAAAGUAUGGAUAAUGAAAUUUAAUAAGGACUAAAUUGAAAAUUUUAAAUAUUAAAAAUAUAAAUUUAUCAUAUAAAAAAAUUAUGUGUGGUUGAAUAAAAUAACUUUUUAUGAAUGUGGCGUUGAAAUAUAUUGAUACGUGGAAAACCGAGCUGUAGGUUAAAUUGAAUAAAAUGAAAAGUUUAAAGAUUAAAAUGUAAGUUUAUUAAUUUGUGGAAAAGGGAUUUAAUUUGCAAUUUUACCAUAGUUAGAUAUUUUGACAACUGUAUGCUAGGAGCCCAUGCUUGGUGAAAAGACUGUCGAUUAGAUGAAGUUUGAUUGGUUGGUAAAAUGGAUGGAUAAAAUAAAAUUAAGGUAAAGUUAGAAAUAAGUAUGAGUAAUUUUAUUAUGUUAUUUUAGUUUUUUUUUUUGUGACAUUAAAACAUUGCCUAACUAAUUACAUAGAAAUAUGCUCAAAAGAAGAAGAAAAAAUACUCUUUGUCUUGUUUAUUUCUAGAGAAGCUAGAACAGUCGUAGGAGGGAGAUUAAAAGUCUGCAAAUCUUCUUUUUUCGACCAAAGCUAAUUUGGCUAAAUAAUUUACAGCAUGAUUUUACUCUGUAGGAUAUAGCGUAAGAGUUAUUGGUUUUAUUGUGACAAAAUACUUUGAAUUCGUCUAAUCAAGGUUGAGUUUGAUGUGGUGAUACACUUCUUUGAAUUGUCUGAUUAGAUUAUUUCUCUGCUAUGGCCUCUACAUUAGAUAAGCUUGAGGCCCUCCAAAAUGUCUCAAAAUUCUGCAUAAAAAAUCGAACACUUCCCUAAAUAUCGGUUAUACUUAAAGACCCAAUCUCCAUUCUCAUCAUGCACUACUCCCCAAAGGCUGCAUUUUCUGAAUUCAAUUGCACCCCAUCGUCGGUAUUGAUGAGGAUCCGAAAUAGUAUAUUACAAGGUAAAGUCAGAAAUAAGUAUUAGUAGUGUUAUUAUGUUAUUUUAAUUUUAAUUUAAUAGUAAGUGUAAAAUGAAAGUGAAAGACAAAUUUUACGAAGAUUUAAGAAUUAUUACUUCAAUUUGGAUCACAACACUCUUCAAGCUGCAAGUUUAAGCUCUUUGAUAUAUAAAUUUUGGACCUGCAAAAAAAUGUGAUACAACUACACUGCACUUUGUGUACUCUUUGUAGUAAAUGAGAGGGUAUUCAUGUUUUGGACAUGUUAGAGCACCGAGUGUCAAAGCAAUUACACAACGAGGACAUGCAUAUGUUUCUUAUAUUCAAUACAUGUAUAAGCAAAGGCAUUAGACUCGUAACCACAUUUUUCACAUCUAAAAAUUUUGCCCCGGUAAGCAUGAGAGGUUUUCCAAAUUUAUGAUGCCCAAACUGUUUCAAUCUAGGUAACACAACACAAGCUUUAUGAAGAAAUAAAUCACAUUGCAGACACUAAUAAAAUGAAUCCAAGAGAUGUAACAUGCACCAUCACAACUUUUAUCUUACUCUGUGAUUGUUUCACUAUCCGGUGCAAUAGCAAUCCUCUGUUACGAAAUGACCAACCAUGCUAACUGCGAACUACGAGCUCACUAAAAGAUACGAGCUCACCUACGAACUGCGAGCUCACCAAGAACUACGAGUUGACCAAAAUAUACGAGCUCAUCAAAUGUGCAAGCUCACCAAAGCAUGAGAGCGAGCUCACCAAGCAUGAGAGCUUACCUGCUAACUCUUCACUCUGUAAGUUGUCAACUUGCCAACUUGCACUAAAACUGUGAUAAAUUUUGAUUAAACAUUUUAGCAGGCGAUUGGACAGAAACCAGCAAAUAAAAAAGAAAGUUACAUGAAUCUAGUCACUGAAUUAAACCAAGUUGUAAUAUUUUAUUACUAUUUUUUAGCUUAUUUAAGCAUGAUUUUUCAUGUAAACUAUGCAUCAGUUUUUUAAUGAAACAGUUUUUAACGAAACAAUUCACCAAAAAUUAACUUCUUCAUUUUUUAUCUUUUGCUUCUGUUUCAAACUCUCCUUCAAAAAUCCAACAUCCUCAUACCAAUUCAAAGAGGGCACUUCACAGUCAAUCCCUUCCGUUGCAUCACCAAGUGUCAACAUGGCAUAGACUGUAUUUUUUAGAUUUCCUUUCCCUAGCAGUCCAUACAUCCCAAGUCCAGCCUUUAUCGAGGAGUCGGCGGCUGAUUCCCUCAUCGGAAUCCACCAUGCAAGCAGCAUCCAUCAUCGUGCGAAAUACACUCAAGCAACGCCGAUGAUUGUGUUCAGGAUGUUGACGGUCUAUGUGCCUAAUUUUAGGGUUCACGAGCAUGUUACAUACAAAAUUUAAGGGUAUUUUUUAAAAAAGAAUUAAUCAUUAUAAAUUUUUAAUUAAUGUAUAGACUAUCAGUAUACCCCAAUCGUAUUGUAAUUAUUCGAGUUUUGCUAGUAGAGAGAUCAUAUUGUAAUUGAAUUAAAUGAAGUAAUAGAGAGAGUAUUGAUGUAAUUCAAUUGACUAUAUGUAGAAAAAUUUGUAUACUGUAUGCGGUUUAUUCCCAAAAAUCACUCAGUAUGCUCAUUAUCGUAACAUAUCAAGUGGGCACUUGUACUAUUAUAACCUUCACCCUAACAUUGAUUAUACUUUUUGCAAUGGCCUCCCUCUCAUUUUAAUCUAUCUCCGCUCAAAUUCGAGUUGAUUGAGAUUGACCUUUUCAUAUGCUACGACAUUGAGGAUUUUGGAUUUUGAUAAACUAUAUAUAUUAUUGAAUUUUUGGCAUCCAAUUCCUGGUUUAGGAGCAAAAGAAACAAUGUAUCGUAUACCCUCGCAUAUGAUCAAACACGUUUGCAACAUAGCCUAAGACAUUAAGAUGAACCUUUUGGCAUGCUACAUAAACGCGCAAACAUGGGUAUCUAUCCGCUUGAAAAUGCCCACAGUCACAAUGUUGCGCUAGAAACUCGAUCUUAUAGUUACUAGGUGGUACCCUCCCACCAAGGGUCUACUUUCCUCAACCCGAAAUGUGAGAUGCUCACUGGAGUAAAUGUAGACGUGAUGACCAUUUGCGGCAUGUUCAUUAGCAUUCAGUCUGACCUGAACAUCCUUAAUGAAGGUGUGUUUGCCACCAAGAGCCUCAGCAAUUUCCUCUCUCAUUCAAACCAAAAGUUCAUUGAAUCGAUAGUAGCUAGCUUCGACUAUGACUAAGACUGGGAAAUAACGUAUGGACUUCAAAACUCCAUUUGCGUACUUGAAAAGGUUGGUUGUCAUAUGCCUCCACAUUCGACCUUUCUCGUACACCUACGCCCACUGGUCCAGUCGAAGGCUUUAGAUAAACUCUCUCGUUUUGCUAUCCACAACCUUGGUAAGGUUCACCCUCUGAUGGAAUUUGAGGUGAACCAGCUCAUAAGCUAUUCAACGUUAUGUGAACUUUAGGGUUAGUAGAAGAAGGUUGAACGUAAACCAUAAUCUGAAAUUUAUGGAUGUCAAUCGGUACAUACUUGCAUUUACAACUUGUUGGCACUAUUCCUUAGCAUGUGUGGCAUGGUAGAUAUUCUUAACGACAUGGUGAAUGUAGAAGACAUGGACUCACGGUUCAUUCCAACCAUUCUAUUGGUUCCGUACCACUAUCGCUAGUCCUACAGCUUGAUCAGAUAUGAAACACAAUCCAUCCAUGUCUCGAGUGACAUAUAAUCACAUCGGUAGCACUGAUUCAACAUCUUCUAUGCUAAGUUGUGUAGCAGUCAAAGCCAUCCAAGCUACUUUCCAAUGAAAUCAUAACGAUUUCAAUGCACAAAAUCUAAUAAAUAAAGGCAUUUUGUUUUUUAUUUUCAUUUUCAUUAUCCUUAAAAGCAACAACAAAGGUAUAAAAGCAUUGUUUUGUUUUCCAUUUCCAUUUUCAUUAAAAACGGCAACAAAAACACAUGUUUUUGUCUUCAAAAACUUUAGAUAAUCAAAAUACUAUAAUUUUGCUUGUUUCCAUUGUUAUGGGAAACAUUUUUUCGUUUUGCCUUUUCAUUGCAUAGUUCACUAAGCAAAAAGGUAGAAGAACAAUAAUGAAGACAAAGGCAUUUAGAUUCAGUACUUACUUUAAUGCUUCUAUCUCAGAGGAGUUUUUAAUUCAUACAAGCCUAUGAAAACGAUUAAGUCAAUGUAGAUAUUAGAUAGUACAACACCACCUACACGAAAGGGUCUCGUAAUGCUAGUCUUUAAGAUCAACAUAUGAAAAGGAAAUAAGAUAUGGGGAAAAAAAUUAGGGAUUGCAUGCAACAAACAAACAUCGCAUUUGUUAAUUGCAUGCAAUAGCGUAAAAGUCAAGUCGAAGCUUCCCCUUCUAAGCGUACCCUCUUGGGACCUCUCUCUUCACCUUGACUGCCGGUGUUCAUCACUCUAUUUUCCUUGGCUUCCACAGAACACCUUUUGUAAGGUUUAAAUCCAGUUCGGCUGGCCUUAAGUUUUGCAUGUCCUAGUCCAAUCCUCAGCAGGCCGUCUUCUGCAUUGUUCUUCUCAUCUUUUGAUAAUGCAUUUUUCUCUACUUCUUGACUGUCGGAACGAGAAUCUAACAUCUUUCUAUUAAGGUCUAAUGUUGAUGUCUCUCUGUCUUUCUCGACUGGAUUUUGCUUGUCUGCACCUACAUUUUCCUUUUGCUGCCCCUUGUUCUUUCCAUCAUGUGGAGGAGAGAAGCUUUGUGGAAGUACCUCUCUGGAGAAGAGGGCUUGAAAAGCCAGUCGUCCCUGAAUAAGUAGUGAAGCCGUAUAUCGAUCAAUGUACAAUACAAUUAGAAUAAUAAUCAAGUUAAGAUAUAUAGGAAAAUUGACACAUCGACUCACCUCUUCAGAUACCUCCUUCCAAGAAUCACUAAGGUUACUGCUGCUUCUACUACGACGGUUACAUUCAACUUGUGGAUGAUUUGGAUCAGCUCCUUUUGGAUCUUCCUUGUCUUUUUCAAGUUUUUCUAACAUGUCUGUCUCUACCUCACUACUUGAAUUGGAACCACAUGAGGACCGGUCAACUUGUUUUCUGUUCUUCAUUUUAUCUACAUCCUGAGGCUCGAUCACUUCAGCAGCCUUCUCAUCAUCAGUAGCUUUCACUUCAGUAUUCGCUUUCGCAUCUACUCUCUCUUCACAGUCUGAUGAUGAUGAAGUAGGUGAUUUAGAUGCUGAAUGCUGACCUUGCAAAGCUUCAGAGUAUUCGGGGUCUAGUCGCUCAUCCUGAGUAGUUAGGGCUAGAUCAGUUUUAUCUUUUUGUUCCAUAUUUGCAGCUGGAGUUUGACCAUUCUCCAUUGGUGGAACUGCAGCAGUGGAUGCAGGAGCACAGGUAAAGCCUGUGUGCAGAGGAGCACAUACAGGAAGCAGUCCAUGGGCGGUCCACCAUGCAGUGGCAGCUGCUACUGUUGCAGCAGCAAUUGCGGCCAUACUAGGAGCAGAGUUCGUUUGUGUAGAUGGGAAACCUCUUAGUUCAUUUGCGGGAGAAUCGCCAGAACUUUCAACAUUUGCAUAUGGCCAAAAUGUAGCUGCAAAACUUGCUGCAGCAUGAGCAGCUGGAUUCUGUAACAAAGUAGAUACAAUGAGAUUGGAAAAAGUGGAGGAGACAUGUAGAAAUGAUCGAUACUCCUCUUGAUCGGGCCGAAGAUGUAUAAAGGGAAUAUGAAAAGGUGGCAAUGCCUGAUGAGUAGAUUUUGGUGCAUUAUUCUGAUGUUCAGUAGUUGCCGAUGCAGCUGGAUUUGCAAACAGAUUAGGUCCAUGAACAUCGCCCAUAGGGUGAAAUACAGAAUCUUGAAAUGACAUACCCAGGGAAGGAUUUUGAACACAUGUUCUAAGGCUUCCAUCUAGGACAUGCACAGCAACAUGCCGAGGAUAAUUUUGAGCAGCUUGCAUCUCAUCUGCACAAAAAGCACCAUCCAAAUCAUCUUUUCUCUGGCCUUGAGCUGAUUUCUCAUAUGAAGUGCAAGACUUCUCCAAGUUUGAAGCCUUACUUGUACCAUUAUCAUGAAAUAUCUGUUGGACAUUAAAUUUAUAAGGUUCACAAAUUUCUUUAAGUUCAAGAAUAACAUAGAAUUCAUGUUUUUCAUGAUUUACUACCUCUUUUGGCAAAGGUACAAACUCCCUGAAUGUACAAGAGCUUUUGAGUGCUGCUGACAUUGGUAUAAAAUUCUUAUUCAUGGAAGACGCAGAGGAGCAGUUUUGUUCGUGGAGAAGGGUAAAAACCUCAGAGCAACUCUCGUCUUGAUUUUCUUUCAGAUUUGUAGCCUUUUCAUCUCCAGUAGGUCUCUGACAAACACAAUAUAUUUGAAGCUUACGUUAAAAAGAAGAAAAGAAAAAGAACAUAAUUAAGAGCAUGAAUAAAGUAGUUGAGGAGGAGAAAGAAACCUCUGGAAGUGGUUCUUUCUCCAAGUCCAACAUUUGCUUGCAAUGCAAAGAAGAUAAUGGCAUUUCAGAUUUUCCAUCCUUAGCUCCCUCUUGUACUGUAGUAGCAGCACUGGUUUUUCGAGGAUAAGGAUUGCUUGGUUUUCUUUUAGGGCGUGGAGGUGGAAUCUCUAUGUCAAGAGCUUGACCUAUUGGUACACCUUUAGCAAGUGCCUCCUUCUCCAACUGAGAAUGGAUUAUUGUCAGUAGCAUCAAUAAAAUGAAAAUACAUAAGAGAAAUCUUACGAGUUUUUGGAGGCACCAAUGAAGCAUCAAUAUAAUAUUAACAACGUGCAACACUAAAAUUAAUGAUAGGAAUGACAUAACUAAAUGCAACAUGAUCAUAUCUAACCAGUAUAAUUCCAAAUCUUAUCAGGAAACAAGAAGUCCAAGUAUAUAAUUGCUCUACAAUCUACAAAUAUCUCACAAAGGAGGUUCAUACAAAAUUUUAUACUCCUGUUGUCAAUUAAUAUGGCCUGUUUUAUAACAUUAGAUUAGAUUAGAUUCUUCUUUUAUCCUUUCAUCCCAUCACAUGUCUGCUCAAGACUCGUCAGCAAUAUAAUACUUGAAUGUAGCAGACAUAAACACAGCCCACGGUUGAACAUAUACAUAGACAAAGAUUGACUAAAUAAAAAAAGGGGGGCUGGUUUAGCCGAGCAAUCAGUUUUGCUCGGCUAAACCAACCCCCCAUUUUACUAGGAGAAGAGAGGAUUAGCUGUAUUUAGAUGAAAAGAAAAUUACCAGUGGUUUCUUAAGAAACACAGUUUAGGUACUGCAUAAAUAAGAUUAAUCAAACCAUCCAUGAUGUUCAUUGUCAUGUAAAAUUGAGAUCAUUAAAGGUUAGGACUUCAGACUGAAGAAAGUAUUUCAUAAAGCUUUAACCAUAAUAUUCUUGAACAACCUUCAUCUGCUUACUGUCCUGAUAAGAUUCAUCACUCACGAGCUAAUCGAGAUAAAAAUGUUAUGCAUGAAUUUGUUUGCGACAUCAGAAAUAUGAAAAGGAAAAAAAGAAGGAAGUAAUGCAUUACCAUGUACCUAACUUUAACAUAAUUGGCAGGUGACUGCCGAUAACCUGCAGGAAAUAAGUCUUUAAGAGAAGAAUCCAGUAAAAUCUUACUUUUACUGAAGAUGUAUACACUUAAGGAGGAUAAUCGCUUAAGACAGACCUAUAGGAUGCAUACCUCAAAUCUAACAUCAUAAUUAGCUACAAGGCACAUCUAACAGACAUGCUGCUGUGAGCUUGGCUGCAAAACUUAAGGUACUAUGGGGAAGAUUGAUCCCAGUAUGAUCACCUAGAAGGUAUAAUAUAGUUUCAAUUAGGACUUAUCUUUCUGAUUAAAAGAAAAAUAUGCAGAUCAGAAUGUUAUGUUCCACAUUACCAGGAAAGGAUAUUAGUUGUAUCAUAAAUGACAACAUCUAUAUAGAAGGUAUGAUCCUUAAGCAUAAAUGAGUACCUAUCUUGCAUUUCAAGCUCUCCCAAUUCCCAGAAAUGGAAGAAAGAAAAAUAAAAUUCAUUUUUUAGAUCUAACGAGCAUCUGGCUCACACCAGCAAUAUGGCUAAUGUUUAAAGAGAUUUCUCAUCAGUAAUCUAAAGUUCUAAACACAUCAACAAAGUCUAGAAUUCAACAAAUUCGUGUCAUCCCUGCUAGUACUACUACUCAUCAUAUCCACUCUAAUGUUAGAUAAGAUCAUUUGGUAUUAUGAGAUCAACAUCUUCAACAGCCAUAAACUAAGUAGAUAUAAGCCCUAAACUUCCACCACAUAAAGGAGAUUAUAAGCCCUAAACUUCCACCACAUAAAGGAGAUAAUAAAAAGUAGGUAAUAAAAUGCAAAAAAGAUAUAAGCCCUUGAAAUAUUGUCUUGAAAGGAUGUGAAACUUGCCACUAUAAAAGCUUUUAACAAAAAAAUGAUCCUAAAAUCAAAAGCUAGAAGCUAUCAAAUUUACUCUAACUGCAGAUUCAUUGUCAACCUUGGAUGCUGAUGAAUUGAACUAUUAGCAACCUUGAGAUACUCUACACAUUAAGGAUACAGUAAGCGGUAAUCCUAACUUGCAAUGACUAGCAUACUGCCCAUGGAUGCUGAAGAUUUCAGUUUAAACCAGAACCAAAAUCUAGGCAUAUAAUAUAGCAACGAAGAACAUGAUAGGUGGGCUCACCCCAAAUUCACUUCCUAGUUCUAUACCUCAUAAUGGUGUAUUUUUACUUUGUAUACAAACUCACUUCUUAGUUCUUACUAUACCUCAUAAUGGUGUGUUUUCACUCUCUAUACAAAUUUAGACUACAUGUAUCUACAUGACCCUUUUAUCCGAAGAAACCAAAUAUAUUAACUUUCAAAACCUCUGCUGCGGUAGGUUAAGUACUAAAUUGCUUCAGCAAGUUCAAAAGUGACCAGACAAGAGGAUGCCUUGCACAUAAAAGGUUAGUGAAAGGCAUAUUAGAAAGAAACCUUUUAUGACAACUUAAAAAACCAAAAAUGCCCUUUUUUAUUUCGGACUCCAAGGAUGAUAAACCAUCUUGCGCAGCCAAUUUCAUACAGAGACCAAAUAAAUAGAAUUCAAAUAGCUUACAUCUCCAAAAUCAAAUUUGUAGAGAAGAUAAAAGGCUAUCACCCUAAAUAUGGUUUAAAUAUUUAGCAGCUCAGAUUCUCAUUUAACUCAAGUUGCUGCCUUUUCUAUAUAUAUUAAUAAACAAACUCCAGUGUACUUCUUUACAUAAUUGGUUAUAAUUUUGAUCGGUGAUAUAUGAUUGAUGUUUUUGACACAGAAAGCUAUACAUUCGCUUCAUAUAUUUUCUUUGUUGUUUUAAAUCUAACAAAUUUGUUUAUACAAGAGAGAAAAUGAAGUAAUAGAAUAAUCAGUAAGAUUUCCCAACCGUUCAAGAUAGUACAGUUGACGAUUCGAUAUUUCAUAUUUCUCAAGCAGAAACAAGAAUUAAGCAGCAGAAAAAAAAAUACAUUGAACAUAGGCAUAAGCAUAAACAAGAAGGCACCAAAUGACCUUUGAAAAGAACUUUUGAGCAUGACUCCUGAUCUGCACAGCCGUCUUUGUUCCUAUAUAUUCUGCAAAUCACCAUGUAAAAACAAAAUGGAAAGAAAAUUACAACAAUAAAUAACAAAACUAUUCUUUUGUUGGUCCUAACAAACAUAUCCUACGUAUCUUAGCCUCAAUCCACAAAAACACUAGCUCUAAAAUGAUAGCAGCAAAAUCUAAACUAAGAGGGAAAAAGCAAGUGAAAAAACCUUCAAUGCGUUGCCAAGCUCGUCCAUAGAGCUUCAAGGCCUCUAGGAACCUAUUAUGCUCUUCCUCGGUCCAUCUUUCACGUUGUUUCGUAAUAGUAUAAGGCUUCCUAGUCUAUCAUUUAACAUACAAAAUUCAAUGGUCCAAAUUAUAACAAACAGAAACCCCCAUUUUUUUACAAAGCUUCAUUUAAGAGAAGAGUUUACCUUAAUUACAAGUUCUUCACCAGAGGAGUAUGUGUCCAUUGAAACAGCGUCACCGCUGCUUCAAAUCCUCUCUAGCAAGCAAAGAGUAUAUCACAAACCUCCUUUCAUUUCUUCCAACAUCCAGUACGACAAAUAGUAAUGCCGUUUUUGAGCUCCACAAAACCUGAUGAAUGCUAUUUAAUACUGCAAAAAGAAAAAACACAAAAGAACAACAACAACAAAUCGAUGGAGAUCCGUCUCUGUUUCUAUUUUUAUUCCAAUUAAAUUAAUAUUAAUUUCUCAUCAUUUAAUAAAAAUAUUUACUUGAUAAAAAUUUGGGGUGAAUGCUAAAUCUCUGGAAAAAUUAAAAUAAAAUAAAUAAAAAUUAAGUAUCCACAGUAACAAAGAGAAGAGACGGCUUCUUCCAAAGAACUUAAAAGAAAAUUCUUACCAAAACGAACCGUAGACGCCAAAACCUUUAAUAGAAAAUGAUACGAAAAAAAAAAAAGAAACUUUAAUUAGUUAUCAACAACACACUUCCACUGUUCCACAUCCAAUCUAUCUAUUAACAGCCAAUAAUAGUUCUUUACCUUCUUUUUGGUUGCCGAGAGAAAAAACAAAAGGAUUCAAAUUCAAUCACUUUUCUUUCGUUUCUCUACUCAGCUGCAUAUAAAGAACACAACUUCCAAACUCAGCUUAGCAAAGCCUAUAAGGAAAGCCCUAGAAAUGAAGUGUAAAUACCUUAAAGAGAUAACCAUGGAAGAUGGCAACAAUGGAAGCAACGAUCACGUAUCAAAAAUAGGUUCACCGGAAACCAGCCGGAGAGCUCAUAGUUUCCGGCAAUGACAAGAUCGGAAUCAACAGAAUUGGAAAAAGAAAAGUUGUCUUUUUUGGGAGAAAAGCACUUGAAUAAACCCAAAAAAAAAAGUGAAAGCAAGCUUAUUUUCUGGUGAUAAACUGAAAAAACACCAGAAACUACAGUAUGGGGAAGAAACAAAAGGAGAAAUCUCAGCCACUACAAUUUCAUGAGGAUUUAUUUUUUGGAAAAUUACAAAAAUUGGGCAGAAAUUUAUUUGAGGCUAUAAAAGAAUGAACGGUAAGAUACAUUAGAUGUUGCCAAGUGGCAAUAAGUUAGUGGCUGAUUCAACUAAAAGCCCACCCUUGCACUUUUUCCCUUAUUUUUUUAUCUUUUUUUCUUUUUGCCCUUCUUGUUUCCUACCUCCAUCUUCAAAUAUCAGCCACAAGCUCCCAAUGGUCUUGGUGUUAAAUUAGUAAAAGCGCCUUUUGGUAUGCCACGUGGUUCCUGCCGUCAACGUUUACGCGAUUCGUUGGCGUGGGUAACCGGUACGUGUCGGUUACAGGGGUAGCUUUGGUGUCAAAAGCCACCGGAUUUGUGACCAUUAGCCACCGUAUGCGGUGAUGAGAUUUUAGGGUUGCAACAAAUCUAGGGAUAUGCUAUGCUCCCCGUUUUCUUCUUUCGAUUUAGUUGCUAAUUUUUUUAGGUUAAAAUUCUCCAUAAAUCCUUGUAUUUUUUUAUAGAUUUGAAAUUUAAUUCCUGUACUUUUAUUUUUAGGCAUUUAGUCAUUUUACUUUUCAUAUUUUUAAAUUCAGGUUUUACGGUAAAUAUUGUUAAAAUUAUUUGUUAAAUUCAGGUUCAUUAUAAUAUCAGUUUUUUAGUUAAGUUGCUACCAAGUGAAUUUUUUUUAUUUCAAUAUGUAUUAUAAACCAAUUUAACAAAAAAAAUUGUAACAAUGUUAACAAUUGAACUUAAAUAAAUUUCAAAUUUACGAAGAGUACAGAAAUAUGACCUAUUUUAACCUUUUUUUAUUAAACUUGUGAGUUACAAUUUAAUUCCUAAAUUUGAAUUUUUUUAAAGUGUAUUGGCAUGUCACUCUAAUAUUAGGUCAUAUUGUCAUUUAAAAAUUUGAAAAACUUUAUAUGAUAUCUAAAGAAUGCAAAAGGUAAAAAUUAAAGAAAUUCAUGUGACGAUGUGAAAUAAUCUCAUAACGUCACAUCAUUAUAUUUUAACAAGAUCUAAGUUAAGAAACUAAAUUGAGAAAAGCUAUCAAGUUUAAAGACUAAAGUGGAUUUAAGGACUAAAUGUUACUUUAUGAUUUUUUUUUCAUUUUAAGAUAAGAGUAAACUAGUUUCUGAACUUCAUUUAAAAAGAUGUAUCAUGUUUUGUAAUUAAUGACACAUUCUAAAACAGCGCCCCUAUUUAUUGUAAUGAUAUAGCAUUAUUCAGUGCCUUGAUGUCCUCCGCUAAUGGUUGGAGCCUCCAAUCGAUGGAACUUACAUCCUGCUCAAAACUCUUGCAUAAAGCUUUCAUGUUAGGUGCAGAGAUACCAAUAGUCAAUCCAAACCUCUUUGCCUCAAUCAUUGCUUCUCUUGUUACGAAUAAAAUAGCUUGCUUAGUGCUAACAAAGUGCUACAAGAACUUGUAAAUUUGAUUCCUUGAAUAUUAAAGAUUGUUAGAGACACCCCGAGGCAGAUGGUCCCUUUCUUCCAAGCUACCAAAGCAAUUCCCGAUAUGGUACCAUGAGGAACAUUCGAUCUACUUGAUUUGCUCUGUUGUACUUGGGAAUAUCUCUCCGCAGCAUUCUUCCAUUUCUUGCCCUCAAACACCUGUAUCCAUAGUCCUUGAAGAUUUCAAACUUUGUUGAUUACGUUUAAGGAUUAGCAUCAUAACCUUUAAAAUAGCAUUUAUUUUUAUGAAUCCGUAUAUUUCAUAACUUGAUACGUAUUAUUCAUUAAUAAAAUAAAGAAAUUGAUGUUGAUGCUUUUCCUCCUUAGUAUAACAUACAAGAUAAAACUCCGAAUAUCACAAUUGUUAACUUGAGUCCACUUGAAACCCAAAAUCAAUCCCAACCAAACUAAGAAGAGAUGAUCAUAGGAUUCCAUAUGUUAGAAUAAUUAAUGGUUUUGAUACAACUUGCAGCUUUUGUGGCUACCUAUUUCCUCUUUUAAAGGCAAAACUUUGACAUAUAUUUUUUAUAGAAAUAGUUAAUUCAAAAGGUUAAUAAUUAAGAUAAAAUAUCAUUUUGAUAUUUUUAAAAUUCUUUUUAAUUAUUUUAAAAAUUACUUAAAAAUUAUUAAAAUUUUAACCUAAUCCUUUAAACCGGAGCUUUUGGGUUUUACCCAAUUCUUUGAAACUUAAUCCUUUGCUGUUUUUCUUAUUCUUUUUAAUUCACAUCUGUAAUACCAGACUGUUGCCAAUGAUUAAAAUAUAAAAACAACUCAAAAUUAGAACAGUUAUUUUUAUAAUAAAAUUAUUAAAAUAUAAAAAUAACUCAAUAUUGAAUCAGUUUUUUUUCAAUUUAACAGAAAUUAUAAGAAAAAAAGCUGGGUUUUAAUUAAGAGAACCCAAAACCCCAAUCUUUAAAUUCUCUGAUUUAAUCAAACUAGCAAAAGUUUAAAAAAAAAAAAAACGACAGUUAGACUACAAGGGAAAAAUCAAAAGAGACAAAAAAAUCUUUUCAUUCUUUUAAUGAUUUUUAUAAUUUUUAAUUAUUUUUAAGAUUUUUUAAAAGAUUUAUUGUUAAUUUUUUUGAAAAAUAUCAAAAUAAUAUUUUUAACUAUAAUUUAAUAAUUAAAUUAAUUGUUAAUCAUUUGAAUUAAGUAUCAUGUCGUUCACUUAACGGAAAUUAACGGACAAAUUAUUAAAAUGUAAUAUUUAAAUAACAUUAAUAAUCAUUUCGUACCCUCUAAAAGUUCAUUCAUUCAAUUAAAUAAAAUCGAAUAUUCAAUCGUUACACAUAUUACUUCUACUAGAGCCAUUGAAUAAACCAAAAACGGUUCUUAAUUUGUCUACAAAGUCAACACUCUGUCCUAUACACUCACAUGAAUAAAAUUUCAAUUCGGUCAGCCCCUUAAUUAUUAGAUUUAUUCAUGUUAUGCUAAUUAUUCAAUACCAUCCAAUUCAUGCAUUAAUUUGCCUUAAUUAUCCUAAAUUAACAUAGUUAGCAAUUAAUCAAGAGGGAAAACAGUUCAUUUGAGUACUACUAAAUAAUUUCCAUCCAAUAAUGAAAUCUAGCCCUUGAUAUAAUUACACUCAAAUCCCUCUUAACUUUUAUUACUUUUUAGUAGUCCCCACCAAUUCACAUUUGAAUCCCUCCACUUCAAGCAUUUAUUUACUAGAUAACCCCCACUUCAGUUUUCCUACUAUUUUCUCUUAAAUUACACCAUCUCAAUUUACUUAUUUCAGCAUAAAUAUUUAAGUUCACUGUUUAUCUCGAAAUUUACUAUCCGGAUGAUAUCAUUCCGUGGUCUAAAUUUUGAACAGUUUAAAUAUUAUAAAUUAAAAAAAAUCUGUAUAAAUUUUGAUAUUAAAUAAAUUGGUCCUCUAAAAAAAUCAAAUCGGUUUAAUCCCUGACAAGUUUGAAAAUAAACGCCUAAGACAAUUAAUCACACUAUAAUUAUUUUUCACAAUAUAUAUAAUUUUUUAUUAGUAUAAUAAUAAAUUUAACUCACGACAUUUAUAUAUUCUGUCAAUCCAAUUUUGAUGUAACAAAUUUAAUCCACAAAUUUUUCACAUAAUCAACAUUUAUUUAAAUUUAUUAUUAUACUAAUAAAAAUUAUAUAUAAUUGACCAAAAAGCAUCACUAUUAUAAUCAAUUAUCAUUAGUUGCUUUUGAAAAUCUACAAACAUCAAUUACUCCAAUUUUGAGAGAAAUUUAAAACCGACUGGAAUCACCAAAAACAAACGUGACUACCAAAAAUCCAGAGAAAACAUCCACGGUAGAUCAACUAUAUGCUAGGGAAUUAAUAUCAAAAAAGUUAUAUGGUAGAGAAGAUGUCGGUACCAUUUGUAUUUUUGUCUUCAAAAUCUUGAAAAAUAUUUUUGGGAAAUAUGUUUUCCUGAACUAAAAUAACUUGGAAAAUAUUUAGUGCAUUGGUAAUUUUUUAAAAUUAUUUUUGGAAUAAAAAAGUACAUGGUGAAUGUAUUAUAUACUAACCCAAAUAAAUUUUAGUUAAAAAUGAUGAUAAACUAAUUUUUAAUAAAAGUAAUAUUAAGUCCUAAACAAUUAAAUACAUCAAAAGUAACAUUUUUAUUGUAUAUAAAAGCGAAAAAAUAUAUACAAAACAUAAAAAAAUAACAAAAAACCACAAUACAAAAACAAAAACAAUGAGUCAAAUGAUAACUAAACACCAAAGCAAACAGACAAGGCUUGGAAGAAAAAAAAAGAGAGUAAAUAUACUUUUUGGUUCUCUUCUGAAUUUAAUGUUUAAAUUGGUACCUGUUAAGGGGUCAGCUCCUUAGGGCAGCCAAUUCGAACUCUCAACAAUCGAUAGUAUCGUACUGAUAUUAAGGUUUUGUCCCCAACCUCCAAGGAGAGUCGUGUACAGCUCAGUAGGGAAGUACCUUAGUUGAUAGAAAUAGGCACUUGCAAAACUCGAAAAAAAUGUCAAUAUAAGGUGUGUAAAUAAUAAAGAAGGUACUUGGGCACCGCAAAAUUCAAGACACCAAGAUACCUCCAUUAUUAUUCACACACCCUAUAAUCUCUUUUCUCCCAAAUCUUGCAACCAACUAAAUUACCCCUUUAAUGAAUCGUACAUUGCUCUCCACAAAAGCUAGGGACAAAACUUCAAUACAAGGAUAAAACCAUCAGUUGUUGAGGGACCGGAUCAACUGCCCGACCAACCACACUUCAAAUACUUCUACUAAAAGAGCCAAUCCCCCAUCAAUAGUACUUUUUUUUUUGGUUCAGACUAUACUCAAAUUUGAUUUCAUCACAUCGUUAAUCUUGAAUGACAUGGACCAAUCAGAUUUAAACACACGGGACACAUCAUGUCAUCAACUGAUGUACCACGUGUAAUAAAUUGAUUGGACCACAUAAUCCAAUUUUAAAAGAGCUACAAAAAAUUGACUAAAACCUGUAAGAAAAGCCAAAUUCAAGUAACAAUUCGGACAAAUAUGUUACAUAUGUACCAAUUUGAACAUCGAAACCAAAUUCAGGUAUCAAAAAAUAUAUCUACCCAGAAAAAACGAAGCAUAAAAACAGUUAAACUAUGAAUCAGUGGGGCAAUCUGUUUAAAUUGCCUUUUCAUUGCAUAAAAAAGGUUUCAGCUUCAGCUAGAGUUCACUAAGCAAAAGGUAGAAGAAUAAUGAUAAAGAAAGGCAUUCAGAUUCAGUACUUACUUUAAAUGCUUCCAUCUCAGAGGGAGUUUUUUAACUGCAGUUGCAAGGAUAAAAAAGUCCAGGAAAGCGAAUAAGUCAAUGUAGAUAUUAGAUAGUACACAACACCACCUACACGAAAAGUCUCGUGAGCUGCAAUCGAAUAAAAGUCUUUUAAGAUCAACAAAUGAAAAGGAAAUAAGAUAUGGGGGAAGAACAUUAGAGAUUGCAUUCAACAAACAAACUUUGCCCUUGUUAAUUGUAUGCAAUUGUGUAAAAGUCAAGUUGAAGCUUCCCCUUCCAAGCGUACCCUCUUGGGACCUUUCUCUUCACCUUGACUGCCGGUGUUCAUCACUCUGUUUUCUUUGGCUUCCACAGAACACCUUUUGUAAGGUUUAAAUCCAGUUCGGCCAGCUUUUAGUUUUGAAUGUCCUAAUCCAAUAGUCAGCAGGCCCUCUUCUGUAGUGUUCUUGUCUCUUGAUAAUGCAUUUUUCACAGUUACUUGAUGAUCAGAACAAGAACCCAAUGUCUUGCUGUUGAGAUCUAAAGUUGAUAUUUCUUCAUCUUCCUCAGCUGGAUUUUGCUUGUCUUCACCUAUAUUUUCCUUUUGCUGCCCCUUGCUCUUGCCAUCAUGUGGAGGAGAAAAGCUUUGCGGGAGUACCUCUCGGGAGAAGAGGGCUUGAAAAGCUAGCCGCCCCUGGAUAAGUAGUGGAGCCAUACAGUGACAAUGGUACAAUACAAUUAGAAUAAUAAUUAAAGUUAAGCUAAUGGGAAAAUUGAGAUAUCGACUCACCUCUUCAGAUACCUCCUUCCAAGAAUCACUCAGGUUGCUAUUGCUUCUACUACUACGACGGCUACAUUCAACUUGUGGAUGAUUUGGGUCAGCUCCUUUUGAAUCUUCCUUGUCUUUUUCAUGUUUUUCUAACGCAUCUGUCUCUACCUCACUGCUUGAAGGAGUGUUGGAGCCACAUGAGGACCGGUCAACUUGUUUUUUGUUCUUUGUUUUAUUUGCAUCCUGAGGCUCAAUUACUUCAGCAGCCAUCUCAUCAUCGGUAGCUUUCACUCCAGUAUUCACUUUUGCAUCUCCUCUCUCUUCACAGUCCGAUGAUGAUGAAGUAGGUGAUUUAGAUGAUGAAUGCUGACCUUGCAAAGCUUCAGAGUUUUCGGGGUCUAGUUGCUCAACCUGCAGAGAUAGAGCUUGAUCAGUUUUACCCUUUUGUUCUGUCUUGGCAGCUGGAGGUUGACCAUUCUCCAUUGGUGGAACUGCAGCAGUGGAUGCAGGAAAACAGGUAAAGCCUGUAUGCAGAGGAGCACAUACAGGAAACAGUCCAUGGGCGGCCCACCAUGCAGUUGCAGCUGCUACAGUUGCAGCAGCAAUUGCAGCCAUACUUGGAGCAGAGUUGAUUUGUCUAGAUGGGAAACCUCCUAAGCCGCAUGCAGGAGAAUCGCCAGAGCUUUCAAUAUUCGCAUAAGGCCAAAAUCUUGCUGCAAAGCUUGCUGCAGCAUGGGCAGCUGGAUUCUGUAACAAUGUAGAUACAAUGAGACUGGAAAAAGUGGAGGAGACAUGUAGAAAUGAUCGAUAGUCCUGUUGAUUUGGGCGAAG
Molecule: long non-coding RNA, 37225 nt
Filed under: Gossypium raimondii (Peruvian cotton)
Lineage: Eukaryota; Viridiplantae; Streptophyta; Magnoliopsida; Malvales; Malvaceae
Description: long non-coding RNA (GRAI_LNC006557)
Source: RNAcentral